ANGUCGUAAUUGUAUUGACUUUUUAAUAAUAUUAAUAUUUAUUAAUAUUUGGAUAACUAAGGGAAAGUUUGGCUAAUACGUUUUAAAUAUAAUAAUAGAUUAUGCACAUAAUAAUAUUUAUUAAUGAUAAAUAUUAUGUAAAUAUUUAUACUUUUAAUUAAGUAUAUUAAUAGAGCAGACUUUAUAAUAUUUUAUUUAUUAUAAAGCAUGUCAAACAAGCAUCUAUAGCAUCAAGUCACAAUGUUGGCAUGUGUAUUAUUGAACCUUCAAAGCAUUUACGCAUUCGGAGGAGUAGUUUCUGAUCCCGUCGAAGGUGCCUGAGAGACGGCACUUAGUUCUAAGGAACGCAGCAGGCGCGUAAAUUGCCCAAUGACAAAACAUGUAAUAUUAAACUCAAUAUAUAUAAUAUUUUUAUUGAGGCAGUGACAAGCUGUAAAGAUUGAAUAUAUUAAUUAAGAUAACAUUUGGAAUUGUCGUUUUAUAAUAUUUUUAAUAUUAUAUUACUUGAUAAUAUACCAAUGUUAUAAAAUAUUCAAUUUGAAUGCGGUGAAUAUAAUAAUUUCAAGUAACAUGUAUAAAAUAUUAUAAUUUUAUUAGUUAUCUGAAUUUUCAAGUGGAGGGCAAGUCUGGUGCCAGCAGCCGCGGUAAUACCAGCUCCACUAGCUUAUACAAUCAUUGUUGCGGUUAAGAGGCUCGUAGUUGGAUUGAAUACAUUUUUACAAUACUGUGAACAAACCAGAGUGUAUAAAACAUGUAAUAUAUUAUAUAUUUAGCAAUGAAUGUUUUAUCAUGGAAUAUUGCUUUUUAAUAUAUUUAUCGAUGGAGAUAGUUGGAGUUAAGAGUACUGAUAGGCGAGCGGUGAAAUGCAUUGACCCUAUUAAGACUAACAAAAGCGAAAGCACUUAACUAGAUUAUUCUCUUUGUAUUAUUACAAUGAAGAGCGAAGGUUGGGGGAACAAAGAGGAUCAGAUACCCUCGUAGUCCUAUUUUUACAUCAAACUAUGGGAUUUCAAUCACAGACACUUUAUGAAAAGAAUGUUUAUUAUAAUAUAAUUGAGUACUUAAUUGUUUACUCUUAUAUUUAAUAUUAUUAUUUUUAUUAUUGAUUAUAUGUACUUUGAGCUCAUAUAAUUAUAUAGGUGAGAUGUAGCAUUAUAGGUUUCAUAAUAUAUAAGUAAUAUUAUAUUAUUAUGAUCCUUAUAUAUAAAAAUGNAAUGUGAUGCACGUUUUAGGUACGAGCUUACUAUAGAAAUAUUUAAAAUAAUACCCUCCUGGGGUAGUAUGCACGCAAGUGUGAAACUUGAAGGAAUUGACGGAAGGGCACCACAAGAACGCGUGGAGCAUGUGGCUUAAUUUGACUCAACCCGGGAAAUCUUACCAGGUCCAGACAUAUUGAGGAUUGACAGGCGAUAGUAUAUAAAAUAUAUUUUUAUAUGCAUAAAAAUGAUAGUCCUUUCAUGAUUAUAUGAUAGGUGGUGCAUGGCCGUUCUUAGUUCGUGGAGUGAUUUGUCUGCUUAAUUGCGUUUCAGUAAAUAAAAUAUAUAAUAUAUUAUAAUAUUUAGUUCUGCCUUUAUGGAUUUAAAGUGAACAUAUUAUAUAUAUUAUUAUAUAAUAAAUGAAUGC
This 1623-nucleotide ribosomal RNA is filed under the name Sorites sp. FII79_1351x. Its description in RNAcentral is "SSU rRNA". It matches the Rfam family "Eukaryotic small subunit ribosomal RNA", at positions 107 to 1427 of the family's 1831-position model. The record is from RNAcentral. Lineage: Eukaryota; Foraminifera; Miliolida; Soritidae.